This 70-nucleotide transfer RNA is filed under the name Crinia signifera. RNAcentral's name for it is "tRNA-Tyr". It matches the Rfam family "tRNA". Rfam says of the family: Transfer RNA (tRNA) molecules are approximately 80 nucleotides in length. Their secondary structure includes four short double-helical elements and three loops (D, anti-codon, and T loops). Lineage: Eukaryota; Metazoa; Chordata; Amphibia; Anura; Myobatrachidae. The record is from RNAcentral.
GGUAAAAUGGCCGAGCGACAGGCGGUGGGUUGUAGCCCCAACGACAGAGGUUCAAACCCUCUUUUUACCA